RNAcentral lists this microRNA precursor (79 nucleotides) under Chlorocebus sabaeus (green monkey). RNAcentral's name for it is "miRNA (ENSCSAG00000022885.1)". Lineage: Eukaryota; Metazoa; Chordata; Mammalia; Primates; Cercopithecidae. The record is from RNAcentral.
UGUGUGUGUGUGUGUGCAUGUGCAUGUGUGUGUAUACAUAUACACACACAUACAUAUACACACAUCCACAAUUUAAAAC